AUUGAACGCUGGCGGAAUGCUUUACACAUGCAAGUCGAACGGCAGCACGGGGCAACCUGGUGGCGAGUGGCGAACGGGUGAGGUAAUACAUCGGAACGUGCCCAAUCCGUGGGGGAUAACGUAGCGAAAGUUACGCUAAUACCGCAUACGAUCUACGGAUGAAAGCGGGGAUCGCAAGACCUCGCGCGAAUGGAGCGGCCGAAUGUCAGGAUUAGGUAGUUGGUGGGGUAAAGGCUCACCAAGCCAACGAUCUGUAGCUGGUCUGAGAGGACGACCAGCCACGACUGGAACUGAGACACGGUCCAGACUCCUACGGGAGGCAGCAGUGGGGAAUUUUGGACAAUGGGCGCAAGCCUGAUCCAGCCAUUCCGCGUGCAGGAUGAA
This 384-nucleotide ribosomal RNA is filed under the name uncultured bacterium. RNAcentral describes it as "bacterial SSU rRNA". It matches the Rfam family "Bacterial small subunit ribosomal RNA", at positions 30 to 412 of the family's 1533-position model. The record is from RNAcentral.